CCACCUUUUCUAGACUCUCGAACGGAGUUAGCUAGUAUGAACAAGUUACUACUUUGAGUGUAUUCAUUAAGGCCUCUUAUAUAGACUGUUUAUGGUUUCAUUUUUCUAGAUGCUAUGUUUCAAAAUGAGAACUGAGUAGUGAAAGAAUAGGUUAUUUACCAAGAAACACAAGCAGGAUUGUAGUGGCAUUGAUGAGACAUUGUUACAUGAUUGUAAAGCUUUAUAUUUAUGCUACCACAGAGAACUAUCAAGAUAGAGAUGAUGUACAUUACAGUAUGUACUGUAUGGUGAUACAUUAAAAUUUGUUGAAGGACUCAUAAUAAUAAUCAAUCUAUUGGGUCACUGAAGAACAGAAUAAUCAUCAAUAGUUAUAAUGAUAAUAAUUUAAAUAAUAAUUUUUUAGUACUUAGCACAGUG
Amphimedon queenslandica is the source of this 417-nucleotide long non-coding RNA. RefSeq lists it as uncharacterized. The transcript has 4 exons. The record is from RefSeq and is a predicted model, not a curated record. NCBI's taxonomy places the organism in Eukaryota, Metazoa, Porifera, Demospongiae, Haplosclerida, Niphatidae.